Molecule: non-coding RNA, 117 nt
Organism: Acanthosepion pharaonis
Lineage: Eukaryota; Metazoa; Mollusca; Cephalopoda; Sepiida; Sepiidae
Source: the annotation of a GenBank genome assembly
UUGCGACCACAUCACAUUGAAAUACCGGUUUCCGUACGAUGAUCAGCGUAGUUACUCAACGUUGAGCCAGGUCCGUACCUUGAUGGGUGACCACUUGAGAAUACCAGGUGCUGUAAG